Molecule: long non-coding RNA, 8307 nt
Filed under: Triticum aestivum (bread wheat)
Lineage: Eukaryota; Viridiplantae; Streptophyta; Magnoliopsida; Poales; Poaceae
Description: long non-coding RNA (TAES_LNC016579)
Source: RNAcentral
UAGCAACGCUAUAAGAGGGGCUGAGCAAAGCGGUAACAUAGCCAAACAACGGUUUGCUAGGAAUGGUGUCAAAGGUUAGAGGUUCAUGGCAAUUUGGGAGGCUGACAAGCAAAUGGUAGGCAUCGUGGCAUUGGCAUAGCAAAAGAGCGAGCAAACUAGCAUAGCAAAGAUAGUAGUGAUUUCGAGGGUAUGAUCAUCUUGCCUGGGAUCCCGCAAGGAAGAAGAACGAUUCCAUGAAGAAGACAAACGGACGAAGACGAACGAAUCCUCACAACUCCGGAACGAAACCGAAGCUAACGAGAGAAGCAACCCGGAAAGAAACAAACAACAUGGUAAACAAACAUCACAUAAACAUGGCAUGAUGCACAAACAAGUAUGAUGCAUGUCCGGUUUAAUGAGGCAUGGCAUGGCAAAGUGCACAAACAAUCCUACAAAUUAAAUGGAGCUCAAUAUGCAACUGCAUAUUGACGAAACACCACGAUAAGUUAUUUAGUUCGAUCCCGUUUAUGUACUCAACAAUAUUAAAUGUUGGUUAACAUGGUAAGAGGUGAAGCAUAAUAUAAACUAUACCAUCUAAACAAUUUAAAUGGGGCCGGAUAUAAAAACAACAAAUCCGGUAAAUCCCCAUAUGCAUUUAGCAAUUUAAUGCAACAACAAGUUUAAACAUUUUAAAUGUUGUUAUCAUGAUGCGGAUGACAUAUGCAAGCAUUAUGCAAUUUUUAUGAAAACGUUGACAUGAGCAUGUUAUGAAGCAUUUGGUCGCCAUGGCGGAACGAAAAGGGUGCCACGGCGGCGAAACAAAAAUGGUGCCACGGCAGCAUAUCCGAAAAUGGUGCCACGGCAACAUUCUGAUGAUCCGAUAACUCAUUGAGAUACCGGUGCAAAAGAGCAAAUGUGCCGAACAUGCAAAAGAUGGUGGGGUGCUCCCGACUACCGGGUUCCCACGGGUCGACGGCAUGGCAACGAGGAGGAACGUGCAAAGACAAACGGGCACGGCGCAAACACGAGCAUCUCAUACAUGCAAGGGCAUCUCAUCGCGGUCGUCUCGGGUUAUACCUUCGAAGCGUGCGUUUCGGGCGGAUCGAGUUCGUAGAGGGAAGUAGACGUUCACGGGCGUCGUGGAAGUAGUGGUACACGUUUGUUUUCGGAGAGGUACUUGACGAAUCCAACAUCUUCGGGGCGACGGUAGUGGUUCACGGACGUCGUGGAAGUAGUUGUUCUUGCAGCAGUCGUGGAAGUAGACGUUCACGUUUGGAGAGGAACUUGUCGCAACCAAGUCCUUCGGGGCUCGUCGGUAGUGGUACUUGGCGAAAUGCACGUCGACGGUAGUCGUUCUAGGCAGGAAACAGUAGUUGUACACGGGUCUUCGGCGUCGAGGUACUUGGCGUUCCAAAACAGAGCAACACCAAAAGGCCUAGGGUCUUGGCGAUGUAGAUGAACACGAGGUCCUGCCCGGGGCUGGUCUUGGCCUUGGCGUUCCUGGUCGAUGAGGGCGAGCGGAGGCGCAUCCUCCUCCCUGCUCGAACAAGGCAGAGGCGGGGCAUGGGGCUGCUCCUGCAAAGGGGCGACGGGAGCCGGACGGUGGCGCUCGGGGAUGGCUGAGGCGGAACCAGAUGGCGAGGCGGCAAGCUUGGCGCGGGCGCCGGGGCCGCCGGAGUUGGCCGAGCUCGGGGACGCCAUGGCAGCAGAAUCUCGGGGCCGAGGACGAGGUCGAGCCGAAGGCAGGGAGGCGGUGGGCUCCUCUGGGCGCAGAUGAAGACGGCGGCGGGCACGAGGAGAAGACAGGGGGCCGCUGAACGAGCUUGAGGGCGACGGAGGGGCGCCGGAGUUGGCCGUCCCGGUGGAGUUGCGGAGGCCGGGCGUGGGGCUGAUGGAACGGGACGCGACGGAGGCAAGGAGGCCGACGGGGCUCCGGCCUGGCUCUCCUCUCCGGCGAGGGCGGAGCGCGGGAGCAAGGGGAGGACCCUGGAGGCGGGGCGACGAGCGAGAGGAGGGUUCGGGCGCGGUGGAGAGCUCGGCAGCGGGGUCAGCAGCGGCAGCCGCGGGAGGCCGAGGCUGGCAGGGCGCGGGGGCGCUCGAGAAAGGGAGGCAUCGCGAGGUGGAGAUGGUUCGGCGGCGGGGUCACGCGCGAGGUGAGAGGCGAGAGGGAGAUGGGGAUCGAGAGGAGGGAGUGGGGGUGUGCGUGCGACGGCGCACAGGGGGACAAGGGGAGAUCAAUGGAGAGGGGAUCGAGAGGAUGGAGCUCCUCUCCUGAGCGGCGGCGCUGUGUGGGAACGAGGGGAGAAAUCGACAGGAGGGAGAUGGAGGCGCUGCGGGAGGGAGAGAGCGAGAUGCGGGCUAGGGUUAGGAGGGGGGCGGCUGGGCUGCUGGGAUUUAGUGGGCCGGCCUGGUUAGACAGGCCCAAGAGGCCGGCUGGGCUUCUCUUCUCUCCCUCCUAUUCUUUUCCAUUUACAAAAAAAAAACAGAAAAGAGAAAGAAGAGAAAGAGAAGGUAGGGGUGGAAUCUGGGCAUGGAGACAAUUUUCCCGGACUCACAAAAAUGAGCUCGAUCCAGGAAAAAUAGAAGUGGGCAUGAUCGAAAGAUUAAAUUCAAAAUCAUUUGAAUUUAAUUCAAUAGGUUUGAACUAGGACUAGGAUUUAGAAGAGUCCAAAAUUGUUGAGAAUUUAGGAGGAGCCUCGAUAAAUGGAAAAAGAAAUGUUGGCAAAGUUUGGGGACCAAACUUGAAGUAGAAAGGGAGUGGGGAUUUUUCAAGUGUGUUAUGGUGAUUCCAAAGAAUGGAUUAUUUUAUAAUAGCUCCACUAAUAUCGGGAGGAUAUAUUAUAAAGAGAAGUCAUCCUUCCCUCGAUUUAAAUGGAUCGAAGAUCCAUACAAUUUAUUUAGUUGAUGUUUUAAAAAAUUAAUGAUAUGAUGGCAUGAUGACAUGAUGCAAUGCACAUGAUGCAAGGAUGAAUGCAACAAAUAAAACAAAUCACAUGAUGAAACUCGGAAUAGCUGGAAGUCUUCUGGAGCGUCGGUCUCGGGGCGUUACAACACUCCACCACUACAAGAGGAUCUCGUCCCGAGAUCUAGGAUGGCACCGGAGAGAAACGGAAGAGGAAGAGAAGAUGUAAACUAAGUUGCUUCUCUGACAAACGAGUGAAACCACGAACCUUGAGGGGUUGAACAAAUUGGAAGAAAUGAAACAACGGAGGAGAACAAAGUUCACAACACUCCGUUAAGAAAGAGGAAAAGAAGGAACCGAUCCGGGUAGCACUCCGGUUGAGAAGGGAUGCAAGACUAGCUAAGAUGAAAAGAACUUGAGCAGAGGACACGACACUCUGGUUAAAUGGAUAAGCACGAAAAGAACAUGAUCUUUGACAAACGAGAUGAUGGGUUGAAAAGAGCAACAUCACAAUGCCUCCGGAAGAAAGAAUAGAAGAUAAAUCAUUGGAAUAACCGAAUGGAGAAGAAAAUGCCAACUUCUGCCACAAAUGAGUUUGGAAAGCAUCCUUGCAAAGAAGAAUUGAACGGAGUUGUUGGAAAAUCAACAACGAAAAGCACAAGCUUGUAGUGGGCUUAUGGAAAACAUCUCAAAAUUAUGAGGUGACAACCGGCCACUAACGGAAACGAUUGCUAGCUUUAGAUCGACGAAGAGAUGAACACUUCUUCCACCAAGAUGAUAAAGAGAUAACUUGGAUCAUUGGCAAGCACCACAAAUAGCAACAUUCCAAUGGAAGGCUUUUAGGUGAAAUAUGACACAAGAUAACUCCAACAACGAGGUUGAUGGAUUUAAAAAUAACUCAUUCUUAACAACAUGUGAAUCAUGGAACACAUGAACUCAAAUUAUCAAGAAUGACAUAAUACCACCUCCAAAAUAUGGUAGAAAGAAUUGCACUCCGGAUUACCAUAUAAAGAAAGCUUGAGCUCCCUAGAAAUGAAUCUUGAUGAAAACUUUGAGAAGGAAUUAAAUCCUUUAUAAACCAACAUGUAGAACCUCCAUGAAGAACUCCGGUAACCAAAAGGAAUGAAAAGAAAGAGAAAUUGAAAACACAAGGUGAAUCGUUGCAAUGAUUUAGAUGGAUCUCCGUGAUAAUUAGAGCUUGGAACUCCGGGAAAAAGAGAAGAUGAAACAAAUGAAAUCGAGAAUUUUAAGGGCCUCCGGAAUAAAGAAUUAAUCACUUGGAUGAACAAGAAUAAGAAUUAUGUUAUGCUUAUCCUUCACCAAUUAAAUUGACGACAAUCAACGGAUUUGGCAUACUACUUAUUCUCGUAGAAAGGAUUAAAAGAGAUAUAUCAAAACUUGAGAAUGUCUUUAACGAACCACCGGUAGGAUUGGAACAACAAAUGAAUUGAUAUGAUGAACAAGGAAGAGAGAUCUUGAAAGAACCACCGUAAGAAUUGAAAAUGAUCGAAGUAGGGGUGCAUCACCGGUUAGAAUUAGCAAAUACACGAAGAUGCUUGAGAGGAUUUAGAUACAUGAGAACGACGAGAUCACGAGCCGAUUAAAGAUCACUUGAACGAAGCACCGGUAUGAUUUAGAGUAUGCGAGCUGAAAGCUGGACUGAAUCAAUCUUACAUGAUGGGCUCCGGAUAAUCCGACAGGAAAUACUCUGAAUUACUCCGGAUGAGUGAAAAGAAUUCUGACAAUCGAAAACAACUAUGAGAGGAUGGCAUAACGCUAGAACCACGAAUCUUGAAGAGAAUAGAGCAAGAUUAAAGAGAAACUCUUCUUUGGUCUUCAAAUGAUGAGAAUGACAACGAGAAACACCACCAAGAAUUAUUGAGGCACACCGGAAGAAUCAAAAGCGAAGAGGUUGAGCCAACUAUGAAAAGAAUUUGAAAGAUCUUGGAGAAAAGCAUUUGACUAAUGAUAACUCAUUCUUACGUCAAACUUGGAGAAGAAUUUAGGAUAGUUCUGGGAAAAUAGAAGAGUCAGGUAAGAUCCUGGGAAAAGACCUGUGGGUUAGGGCCCACUCAAAAGAACGCCAUUGAAAAGAUUUAAAAGAGAUGUUGCACCGGUUGAAUUAAAUGACUUGAAUGAGAUACCAAUCUCGAAAGAGCUUGAACGAAUGCAGAGUGGAAACACAAAUCUUCGAGAUAUCUUGAGCAUUCCAGAAUAAUUGAAUAGCGAGAGAUGGAUGAUUAAGAGGUGCACCGGCACGAGAAAGCAUUGGAAAAAAAAAGAAAAGGAGUAUGCUUAAUACCAAAGCUUGAAUUAAAUCCACCGGAGAAGAAAACGAGAAUGACGAGUGAUGAACUUGGAGCUCCGUUAGUAUCUUCAUGAGAAUCACCGGAUAAGAACAUUGAAGGAAAAGAAUGGAGAGGUUUCACAACAAUAAGAUGGAUACUCGAUUAAGAAAUCUGAGUCCUUGAAGAAAAAGGGAGGGUGGGCGGGAAAAACAAAGGCAAGCUUGGAGACGGAUGAAACAAACACCGUUGAGAAGAAAUGAUAAAUGAUCUUGCAAAUGUUGACGUGAACGGAUCCACUUGAGGAGAGACACACCGGUUAAAAAAAAAGGAUUGACAAGACAGACUUGAUGAUCAAGAAGGAUUAGUAUUCACAUAGGAAUAUGAGAACACCAUUUAGGAAAGGUAUGGAUUCAACAUUUGACUUCGAAGCAACUCGAAUACCACAACUAAAACAAAACAAAGGAUUUGGCUUGCAGAAUAAGCCGGAACAAACAUAUGAUAGAGAUUUCGUUCGAAGUUUUCGUGGUGGGGCCUACACGGGCUCGAGUGUACAGCACCAUCAUGUACAAGGCAGUGCACAUGACAUACGAAGCGUCCCCGAGUCGGCAUAGCCAAGGACUCUUUAAGACACAACGAGACCACUGUAAAAUCGACCGUGAAUAGGCGGACCACUAGACGUCGAACCCCAAUUUCAUAUCAUACAUCUGUCGGAAAGAUAUCCUAAGAGCUACUUGAAUUCCCACCUAUGGAACUCCCGAAAUUUUUCCGGUUAUGCAAUCAGGUGUUGGGGAUACAUGGGAAGCAUAAUAUCUCACCUAAACUAGCAAAACCUACAUCCAGCUGUAUCCAUCCUUCAACACAUAACCAAGAAACCUUCGGAAAUCAUCUACCUCAACCUUCGAAAAGCAUCCGUUAUACAAGUCAUGGCAAUACUCCCGUACUCACCUCAGUACUGGGUUAUCGGGGUUAUCUCACCAACAACUGCAUAAAAGAGAUUUUCGAUGUCGGCGUACUAAACUCAGGUAUUCCAGAACUGCAACGAUAAAAUUAUGACGACAACACCUCAGAGCUCAACUCCCCGGGACACUUCCACUAAACCCCUGACAGGAGGCACCAAGACAAUGUUCUCAUCAUAAAACCAUCGGAACGAUUCCAAGAUACCCGCGUGAUCCUAAAUUUUUUUUAGUGAAAUUUGAGAAGAGAAGAGUCAAAACUCUACGUUAGGAUGCCUCGCAAGAGUGACGAAGGGACUGAGGAGUAAAAAGAAUUCCUAACUCUCCGAUAUAUAAUUCCUAAAUGACUCAAAACAUUUUUCUAGACACAACUCGGCCGCUAAAAACGAUCAAGCAAUGGGGCUCCUAAGGUCGGGGAAGGCUCUGAUUACCAACUUGUAACGCCCUCCAUGCGGCUAUAUCUCCCACGUGUCGAAGCACGACUUAGAGGCAUAACCGCAUUGAAAGCAAUGUCGCAAGUGAGGUAAUCUUCACACAACCCAUGUAAUACAUAAGGGAAAGAGAUACAUAGCUGGCUUACAAUCGCCACUUCACACAAUUACAUGAAUAAAGCAUUACAUCAUCCAGAUACAAUCAAGGUCCGACUACGGAACCAAAAUAAAAGAAGAACCCCAAAUGCGACAAAGGUCCCCGAUCGACCCCAACUGGGCUCCACUACUGAUCAACUAGAACGAAACAACACAAAGGGCAAGAUCUUCAUCGAGCUCCUCCUGAGCUUGGUUGCGUCAUUUGCACAGACUCAUCAGCACCUGCAAGCUGGUUUUGGAAGUAUCUGUGAGCCACAGGGACUCAGCAAUCUCGCACCUGCGAGAUCAAGACUAUUUAAGCUUAUGGGUAAGGUAAAGGUAUGAGGUGGAGCUGCAGCAAGCGACUAGCAUAUAUGGUGGCUAACAUACGCAAAUGAGAGCGAGAAGAGAAGGCAAAGCACGGUCGAUAAAAGUAUGAUCAAGAAGUGAUCCUGGACUACCUACGUCAAGCAUAACUCCAACAACCGUGUUCACUUCCCGGGCCCCGCCGGAAAGAGACCAUCACGGUUACACACACGGUUGAUGUAUUUUAAUUAAGGUCGACUUCGGGUUUUCUACAACCGGACGUUAACAAAUUCCCAUCUGCCCAUAACCGUGGGCACGGCUUUCGAAAGUUCAAAUCCCUGCAGGGGUGUCCCAACUUAGCCCAUGACAAGCUCUCACGGUCAACGAAGGAAUAGACCUCCACCCGAGACACUCCGAUCAGACUCGGUAUCCCGGUACAACAAGACAUUUCGACAGGGUAAAACUAAACCAGCAACACCGCCCGAAUGUGCCGACAAAUCCCGAUAGGAGCUGCACAUAUCUCUUUCUCAGGGCACACUCAGAUAGGUCAAGCUACGAGUAGAACCAACCCUCAAGUUUCCCCGAGGUGGCCCCGCAGGCUGCCCAGUUCGGACCAACACUCAGAGGAGCACUGGCCCGGGGGGGGGGUAAAAUAAUGAUGACCCUUGAGUCCGCGAAACCCAAGGGAAAAAGAGGCUAGGUGGCAAAUGGUAAAACCAAUGUUGGGCAUUGCUGGAAGAGCUUUACUUAAGGCGAACUGUCAAGGGGUUCCCAUUAUAGCCCAACCGUGUAAGGAACGCAAAAUCCGGGAACAUAACACCGAUAUGACGGAAACUAGGGCGGCAAGAGUGGAACAAAACACCAGGCAUAAGGCCGAGCCUUCCACCCUUUACCAAGUAUAUAGGUGCAUUAAUUAAAUAAGAUAUAUUGUGAUAUCCCAACAUAAACCCUGUCCACCAUGGAGCAAUCUUCAGCUUCACCUGCAGCUAGCAACGCUAUAAGAGGGGCUGAGCAAAGCGGUAACAUAGCCAAACAACGGUUUGCUAGGAAUGGUGUCAAAGGUUAGAGGUUCAUGGCAAUUUGGGAGGCUGACAAGCAAAUGGUAGGCAUCGUGGCAUUGGCAUAGCAAAAGAGCGAGCAAACUAGCAUAGCAAAGAUAGUAGUGAUUUCGAGGGUAUGAUCAUCUUGCCUGGGAUCCCGCAAGGAAGAAGAACGAUUCCAUGAAGAAGACAAACGGACGAAGACGAACGAAUCCUCACAACUCCGGAACGAAACCGAAGCUAACGAGAGAAGCAACCCGGAAAGAAACAAAC